AGGAGCUGCGGGAAAGCACCUAGAGGAGCAACUCAGAGGGGAUCUGUGAAAGAGCCAGAGCUGCUGCACAGCAGAGAAUCCCCGGAGCCACUUCCAAAGGGAGGCGUGAGAAAGAGCUCGGUGCCAAACAUCCCAUCCUCUGCUCCUUCCCGGAGCUCAGCCACACGCGGGCACCAGUUCCCCGGCACCAGAACCUCACUGGCAGCGGGGCCGGGCCCGUCCCUGCCCUGCCCUGCCCGUGAGCUCUGCGAGGUGCAGGGCCGUCCUCGGGAGCCCCGCACGCUGCCAGCACCGCCGCACCUUUGUUUGGGCCCGGGGAGACUAUGUGAAUGGAAUCAGAAGCAGAGGAUGGGGAGGAUGCCUGCACUGUGCAGCGGAAUGUGGGAGAGCACACGAUUGCCGUGGAAACCAGCUAUAGUAAAUGGAGCUCUUCAGCUGCAGGGGAGGAUUUAUACCACCAGGCUGGGAGCAGGCAAUUUAAAUCAGCCAUCCGCAGGUAAAUUGGCACAUUUCUCUGCACAUCAUUGUCUCCGUGCACUGCGAAAGGGAAAAAGGAGGGUAGGUGGUAGGGGAGAAAUGCAGGAUUAUGAAGUUAGAAAAACCCACAGGAGCUGAUGCAAAGAUUCUCGUGGUUUGGGUAGGGGCUGGUCCUGGCACACAAGGAGCGGGCGUGUAUUCCCUGUGCACUGAAGAAGAGCAAUAGGUGCAAGGAUGCUGCAAACCUGUGUCUCGGUUUCAGACACUGCAUACCUGUCUGAUCCUGAGGGCAAUGGUUAAACACAGCUUACCCGGAUCCACCAUGGGGCCGGGGGCUCACCAGCUGCCACAGAACUGCACAGACGUAAGGAAUUUGCCUUAUUGCCAUCUCUAGUAAUGACGCUCCGAAACUCCUAACUCACUGGGUUUGGGGUGAUUGGAUUUAAGUUUGCAGCUCAGUAUGCAGCCAGGUGUAUUUGUAUCAUUAAACGUAAUGUAUCAAAGACUGUACGCUCUGUCAUUGUGCUUCACUGUGCUUUUUGUUCUCGAGUUACUUCGUUCUGCUUCAGCCUUCCAGCAAAGCAUCAAAGAGCCCCCGAGAACAGCAAGAUUCCAGCCUCCUCCUUCAGGAGAAGUUUGAUGCUGAAAACCCCGGCGGUCCAACCAAAAUACAAAGCCAGGAUCUGGGUCCUCCCGUCCCACAUUUGUCGCUGCUGUGUCUUUGUGAGAGUGUUGCCCACGCAGCAGACGCUGCCCAACGAGAGCUCCUGUUUCCCUUUGCAGUUUUCUCUCUCCAGUGCUGUCCCCGUUGUACAACCGCUGCCAUGCAGCAGAGCUGAUCUGCAGUCCUGGUAGGGAUCCCAUGACAGUGGACUGCAGGAAGCUGCAGUCUGUAGGCUGUGCAGCCUGGUAGAGAGGUGGUAAGUUUUUAGAGACCUAACCACGUGAACAGACAUUAAUAUUCAUUCAAUCCCUUAGGCCACAUGGGCUGCUAAUCACAUCGCGUGAUCGAUACCACGAGUGGCACGUCAACCACAACGCUGAGAUUUGCCAGCCUGGGAAAAAUAUCAAACAUCAAGAGAUAGAACUCAUCGAUACGUCAAAUAGAAAGAGUGACUUUACAGGUGACAGAGCCAGA
Molecule: long non-coding RNA, 1615 nt
Organism: Numida meleagris (helmeted guineafowl)
Lineage: Eukaryota; Metazoa; Chordata; Aves; Galliformes; Numididae
Source: Ensembl